CAAACAGGGUAAGAGACAAGCCAGGGUCACACAGCUAGCAAGUAUCAGAGAACAGAUUUGAACUCAUGAAAUGAGUCUUCCUGUCUCCAGUCCCAGUACUCUUAUCAACAGCACCAUUUAGUUGCUCCAAUAUAUAUGCCUGCCCAUUCUAACUUUUUUGUUCACAUCCUACCAAAAAUUCACCAUAGAAGAUGUUAGAAGGACUUCCUGGAUUUCUCCUGAUAUUUGGUGGGUUUCAGGAGAAUACGAUGGCAUUCAGUGUUGAGUUACAGGACUGUACUCAUAGGCAAUCCAUAAUGCCUGGACACGACCCUUAAAUUCUGCAUUCAUUCAUUCAACAAAUAUGAUUAAGCAUUCAGAAUGCUCUCAGCAUUGUUGGAGGCUCUUGGAAAGAAGGGUCAAAAACCUCGGUCCCGAAGGCAGAAGGAAAUGACAUAAGCACAGAUAAGAAAAUACGAAAAUACACAAGUGAUUUGGAGGAGAAAGGCACUAGCAACUGGCUGCAUCAGGCUAGGCAUUCCUGCUGAGAUGGCUGAAGCUUUGGAAAGAAGCAGAGGAUUCUAGGAGGCAAAUUACCGUGCCAUCUUUUCCCACUCUCGCCCCUCAAAGGAGAUGUUUUUAUAUACACUCUACUGACCUACUGUGGGGAGAGCAGAACAUGCGCGGUUAGAAGAAAGGACUGUAGUGGACGCAUGGUGAAAGGUUGAACUCACCUGGAGAGGCCAGCAGCACUUUGGCCCCACUACACUGGAAGCAAUGUAUCAGUGACUUGGCUCGGAUGUUGUAGUUGAGACAGGCCAUGGCGCAGCCCAACUUCAGCAUCCCCAGCCACAGCCAAGCAUAGGCCGGCUCGUUGGCCAGAAAGACGGCCACGCAAUCCCCCUGCCGAAGUCCGAGGCGGUCGUGAAGCAAACGUGCCGCUUGGUUGCUCCGUCGGUCCACCUGCGCGUAGGAGAGAGUCUCAUCUUGGAAGAGCACAAAUGGUUUGUUUGGGGUCUGGCGCACUCGCUCCAAGAAGGCGGUCAAGAUCGUGCGCACCGGCCGGCGUCGCGAGUAGCUGCGUACUCUUCGGGCCACUCCGACCACCUUCAGGAAGUACCCAGUGUCCUGGAAGAAGUAGGGGCAGCAGAAAUUCACCAGCAGCGGAAGGAGCAGCAGCCCCGCCACUGCCGUGUAGAUGGCGGGGAGCAUGAUGGUGGCGAUGCCCCCUGUCCCCGAAAGGGCAGCGGGCGAACUCCGGGCGUGCAGCGCGACGCUAGGGGCGGGCGAACUCCGGGAAAGGGGCGGCGGACUCGCGGGAGAGUGGGAGGGAAGGAGCGAGGGCGGGGAGCUAGCUUCAGGGAAGCCGCGGGAGCACGGGCCAGGGAAGACCGGGGUACAAGCUCUAGGAGACUAGAGACAAGGAGAUGGUGUACACCAACCCUUAAACAGGAACGCGGGGGAUUGAAGGGAGAAGGAUGAGACCUAAAAGCGAGGGAUGAGCCGAGAGCGUAGAUGCCAAAUCGAACGCACCACGGAGCCUCAGAUGAUCAGGGGGAAGGCGGGCUGGGUUUUAGGUCGACUCCGGGGGAAGGUGGAGCUCCUUGGCCCUCUUAGCGCCCGGCGGGGAUUGAUCCAAGGAAAGCCCCGCCCACCCGGUAGGGCGGGUGGUUACCUGUGCUUAAGCACGAUGUCACAGUUAGGCUCAGGCUACCUAAAGCUUCCUCCAGCCCGGACCUGGGAGGAGAAAGUCGGUGUUUCCGGGGUCUUUGUUGUAAUCUUCCCCCCGCCAUCCCCCUAUCCCCCAGGAGCGAGCACUUUCUCUCCAGCUAGUACUAAUGAUCUUGUACCCACCUCCUUUCCAGGAGUAAGGUGUUUCAACUCUUUGUUUCCGAACUCUUUUAUUGGAGGUUUUUUCCUUUUCUCCAGUUUCUCCAAUUUCUAAGGGCGACCCUCAUUGCCCAAGUUGAAGUACAAAGUAGCCUGAGUAAUUUUUAUUGGUGCUUGGCAGUUUCACAGUUAUAGGGUCUGGCAGGCCACUGUUGUUAAGAUACAGAACGGGCAAGCCCAAUCAGCAAACCCGGUCAACGCCGCCAGAAACUGGGCAUCGUCUUGACACAGGUACCACUAAGCCGCCCGGAAUUCAUACCUAUUUAUUUCAUGAUAAUGCCAAAUUCCAGGGCUAAGCCAAUUUGGCUAUCAGAAUGUUGUUACAUAUUUCUGAUAUAUUUGCGGAGAAUCUCCAACUAUUGUGCGUUGCAAACUGCACCUCUUCAAUUACUUUUUUGCAAUACGUCUCCCCCACCCCCACGGUCCAACGGUUCUGGUACACAAUGCCUUUUCAGUAAAUGUUCUUUACUGACGACUGCUACGCAAUAGCAAUCACCAUGGAGUAUUGUUGGGACUUCACUAGCCUCAGAGAAUUUCUUUCUCUCUUCCUUUGACCUCCCCUUUGUUCCCAAAAGAGAGUCGACAUAAUGCCUUAUAUUCAAAUAGGGCUUUAAGUUUACAAAAUCCUUUACUCGCAGAAACAGGGAGAUUUCGUAUUAUAGUCAAUGACUUGAUUAAAGUCGGUAAUAAAUAGUUAUCAAAUUUGAUGGUGACAAAAAGUCGAAAGGUGGGAUCCAAGAGAAUCUCAACCCGAUAGAAAGCUGAGCUAAAUUUAAUAGGAAGACACUUUAUAGGGAUAAAGGAAAAAUAGUAUUCCUGAGUUUGAAAAAGCUGAUUCACACAUCUGAUGUGUGGGAGGCAUGGCUAAUAGUCAGAUGGAAAAAAAAAAUCCGAAAUGAACCUCAAUGAAUGAAGAAGAUCUGAAACAAACUCAAAUGAACCUCAAACGCAGUAUGAGCUAACAGUGUGGCAUAGCUGCUAAAAAAACCUAUCAUUAAGAGAAGGCUGCUGUGAGACAGGAUGAGGGAAAUUAUUGAUAGUUCCACUCUGCUCUGUUCUGAUCACAUCUGGAAAUAUUGUGUUGUUUGAUGUAUUGGAUAUUAGGAAGAGCACAGUUAACCUGGAAAAUUUGCAGAUUGGGGGUAAUGAUGUGCUAUGUUCAGUUCUUUAGGUUGUGUCUAGUUCUUCAGUGACCCAAUUUGGGGUUUUCUUGGCAAAGAUGGUUUGCCAUUUCCUUCUCCAGUUCAUUUUAUAGACGAGGAAUGGAGACAAACAGGGUUAAGUGACUUGCCCAGGGUCAAGAAGCUAAGAAGUGUCUGUGACCAAAUUUGAACUCAGACCUUCCUGACUCUAAGCUGCUACAUGAUAACUGAUAUUUAAAAGUUUGUUUUCUUAUUGAAUCCUCAUAACAAUCCUGGAGAAAAUUAUACAGAUAUUAUUAUACCUAUUUUGCAGAUAAAGAAAUUGAGACUGAGAUUUUAAGGGAUAUGCCUAUAGGGAUGGGGGUGGACAAUGGUGUCAAGGGCUUUUUCCCCAAAACCAUAGUACCUCUUAUUUUUUUUUUAAUCUUCCCUAAGGACGGAUGGAAAUUAGCAUUUAUUCAAUCCUUAUUUUGUACCAAGCAUCUAAAAAAUUAUCUCAUUUGACCCUUACAAGAACCCUAGCAGGUAAUUAAAAACAAACAAAACUGACAUUUAUAUAGCACCGUGCUUGGUAUUGUGUUAGCUCUUUACAAAUUAUUCUUACAUUUGAUCCUCACAACAAUUCUGGGAGGUAGGUACUAUUAUUAUACCCAUUUUAAGUUGAGGAAAAUAGGGCAGAAGGAAGUUUAGUGACUUGCCUGGAGUCACAUCUAGGACCUGAUUUGAAUUUAGGGUCUGUCUGACUCCAGGAUCAGCACCUAAUCCACUGCGCCACCUAGCUGCCUCUAAGGAUAAGGGUAUCAAGAGCAUGUUAUUGGUGGAACGUUUAACUGGAGACUUGGUGAGGGAUGGGGAUGGAGGAAGGGAGGGAGGAGUUUAAAGAUAAUUGACUUCAACUACAAGAAAGGAUAUUGUAGAAGAGGAAUUGUACUGAUUCUUCUUGGCCAUGGAAGCCCAAACUAGAAGGAGUAUGUGGAAAUUAUAGUGAGUCAGAUAUAGGUAUGAUGUAGGAAAAAAAUAUCCUAACAGAACGAUCUGAAAGUAGAAUGAAUUGCCUUGGAAGGUUCUAGGGUCUUUAAGCAAAGGCUGUAUUAUUCCUCAUUGGGUAUGUUAUUGAGGGGGUUUUUGUUCACGUAUUAUAACAUAUGGUCUUUGAUAUUCCUAUCAACUUGGACUUUCUCUGAUACAUAAUAGAAACAUUAUCUCCAUUUAACAGAAGAGGCAACAGGUUUAGACAGAUGAAAUAAUUUGCUCCUGGUUAGAACCAGGGUCUUCUGAUUCUAAGCCCAGUUCUCUGUCCAUGAUACAACACUUUUUCUCUAGAGCAGCCAUACAAUACAUUUCUCUUGCCCUGUUCUUCCUGCCAGUAUUGAUUCUUCACAUUAUCCAUAUUUUGUUACCCUCUGUUACUUUAUUUUUCUUCCCAUUCCUCCAUUAUUCUAGUAUCUACGAGAUUCAGUUUCUGGCUCUCCCUUCUCUGAGGCAUUAUGCUUUGAGUAUUUGGGAGUGGGAGUCUGAAAAUUUUAAUUCUUCUUUUCAAAAAAACAAAUAGUGAUAAAUUUUCUUUUUACAUCAAGUGAAUUUCUUAUUGUCCUUUAUCCCAUCUUCUCCCAGAGAAUCAUCCAAUAUAAUAAAUAAUUUUCCAAAAGAGAGAGAGAAAAAAAACAAGUUCAGUGAUACCUUUUAACAGAUGAAAAAAGUUUGAUGUAAAUUAAGUGUUCCACAAUCAUUGUCUUCCACCUCUGCAAAAAAGUGGAAGGAGGUGUUUUCUCUUAUCUCUUCCUUGGUCCAUAUAAUUUUCCAAAAUUGUUUCUAUUUUAUUUUUGUUCUUAUUUAUAAUUCCAUUGUUGUAGUCAUUUUAUGCAUAUGCUUUUUGUGUUUCUACUCAUUUCAAUUUACAUCGGUUCAUAUAAACUAGUCCUCUUCAUAUUCAUCAUUUCCUGUAACAAGUAAUAUUUCAUUAUAUUCCUGUGCUAGAAUGUAUUUAAGUAUUCUCCAAUCAAUGGAUAUCUACUUUUGUAUCUAGUCCUUUGCUCUACCAUACAAAGUAUCACUAUAAAUACAUUAAAAAAAUUUAAAACCCUUACCUUCUGCUUUAGAACCAAUACUUGUAUUGGUUCUAAGACAGAAGAAUGGCAAGGGUUAGGCAAUGAGGGUUAAGUGACUUGCUCAGGGUCACACAGCUGGGAAAUGUCUGAGGUCAGAUUUGAACCUAGGACCUCCCAUCUCUAGGCCUGGCUCUCAAUCCACUGGGCUACCCAGCUGCCCCCUACUAUAAUUAUUUUGAUGAAUAUGCGCCUUCCUUUCUAUCACUGACCUCUGUGAGGCAUAUACCAGCAGUAGAAUCUCUGGGUCAAAAGUUAUGGGCAUUUUAGUCAUUUUAAUGUAACUUUUGAUAUUUAUCAGCUAUGAUUCCAUGGGCUUCUCUCUCUCUCUCUCUCUCUCUCUCUCUCUCUCUCUCUCUCUCUCUCUCUCUUCUAUGUGUUUAAAUUCUUAUCUUUUCUCUUAGUAUUAAUUCUAAGACAGAAGAGUGGCAAAGACUUGCCCAGGGUCACAUAGAUAGGAAGUGUUUGAGGCUAGAUUUGAAUGCAGGUCCUCCCAACUCUAGGCCUGACACUCUAUCCAUUGUGCUACCUAGCUGCCCUCUGAGUAGAUCUCUUAACAUAAGUUUUUUUUUUGUGUGUGAAUAAAAAGUACCAAAUAGUAUGCAUUUCACAAGACUGUUGUGUCAAAUGAGAAUUUAUGUAAGGGGUUUCUGUUCCAAUACUCCAAUGGAUUUAUGACCUCAUCAGUGUAGAUGUUUCCUCUGAUUGUAAGUUCCCAACCCAUCCAUGCUGGCUCAUAUUUUGAUGACUUUUAUCCUUAUUUUCCCAUAAGGGCAUCAUUAAAAGUCUGUUCAAACAUAAUGGAAGUCUUGCUCAUAUUCUCUUGACAUCUGGAUGAUAUUGGUGGACACUAAUAUAAUAAUAUAGGUAAGUUACCAAUCAACCAAUAAACAUUUAUUAAGUGCCUACUAUAUGCCAGGGACUGUGCUGAUAGAUAGAAAUUUAAAAAAAGGCAAAAGAUAAUCCCUGCCCUCUAGGAAUUUAAAAUCUAGUUGGAGAAACAACAUUCAAACAAAUAUAUACAAAGCAACUUAUAUGUAGGAAAAAUAGAAAUAAUUAACAGAGAGAAGGCACUAGAAGUAAGCAGGGUUAGGGAAGACUUCCUAUAGAAGAUGGGAUUUUAGUUGGGAUUUAAAGGAAGCCAGAGAAAUCAGUAGGUAGAGAUGAAAAGAGAAACCAUUCCUGUCAUAAGGAACAGUCAGAGAAGUUAUCAGUUAUCCUUUUCUUUUACCUAGGAGGAGAGACAUGGAACAUUUGGUUUGUGGAAGUCAGGUGGCCAAUGUCACUGGAUCAAAGAAUAUGUGUUAGUGAGUAAGGUAUAAGAGGACUGGAAAGGUACAGGGGGAUAGUUUAUAAAGGGCUGUGAAUGCCAUACAGAACAUUGUGAUUUUGAUUCUGAAGGCAAUAGGCAGCCUCUGGAGUUAAUAGAGUAUGUGUGAUAUGAUUGGAUUUGCCCUUUAGUGGUUGAAUGGAGGAUGGAUUAGAGUAGGGAGAGAGUUGAGGCAGGCAAGACCCACCAGCAGGUUAUUGCAAUAAUUUAGGCAUGAAAUGACGAGGGCUUGAACUAGAGAGGUGGUAGUGUCAGAGAAGAGAAGAGGGCAUAUGAGAGAUGCUGCAAAGGUAAAGUGAUAGCCUUGGACAAUAGAUUGGAUAAAGGGGUAAGAGAGAAUGAGGAAUCCAGCAUAGGUUUUGAGCUUGAGGAAAUGGGAGGAUAGUAUUGCCCUCUACGGGAAGAUAGGCGGGAGAGAGGGGUCAGGGGAAAAAAUAAUGACUUCAGUUUUGGACAUAUUGAGUUUAAGAUGUCUACUGAACAUCUAGUUCAAGAUGUCUGAAAGACAGUUGGAGAUAUGAGUUUGGAGGUGAGCAGAGGUCAGUUAUCCUUUUCUUUUACUAGUGACCUACACAUUUUCUUGAUCAGUUAUACCUUGCUUAGAAGACAUUCUUUAUACCACUUGUCUGUCCCAUGUACUUUUUUUUUUUUUUGGUGUAAUGUAUUUAAUCCUGUUUAGGUCUACCAUUACUUCUUAAAGUGACCCUUAACUUCAGUUCUUUGGAGACUAUAAUUUCCUGACUCAACCAGAUAACAUCACAAGGAGGAUUUGGGUGUCAAAAAGAUGGACAAUUUCAGGGAGAAUUUUGCUUCUUAAAUGAACUUUGCUAUAUUCCAAAAGUAGUCCAACCUGUUCUCUGUUAAAUUCUGAGUCAAGCUCAUUGUCCACUUGCAGUUUCUAAGAUACACUGAUAUAUGCCAUUAUAGUUCUAAUUCUUUAUGUAUUUGUCUUUUUUGUUCUUGGAAAUUUUUAUGUCUGCUGAUUAUCCUCUUUACAUUUUACAUAUAUGUACACACAAAGUUUUAAAUUAUUAAGGCUUAAAACUGCCCAAAGACUUUUAGGAUAUCUUAUAGACCUACAUAUAUGCACACAUACAUAGAUACACAUGCAUACAUACAUAUGUCUACAAAUGUCCAUUCAGCUCCAUAGUGUAGUCUAAAUAAUAGAUAUUCAUCAAUUCAUUAGUUUUCCAGUAUUAUUAUAUAUUAUAUAUUUCUAGUAUAUAAAAGUUAUUCCAAACUCUUUUGAGGAUUAUGGGAAGUUUCUGCAGUGUUCUGUGGUUUGAUGUAAAUUGGUACAAUAAAGAAACAGGAUCAUCUGGAGGUUGAUCCUUAUUUAGGGAAUCUCUCAGUUUAGGCUACUGGAUCUUUCCCAAGACAAUGGUAGACAUCUCUGAUAAAAUGUAUCUGUUUUAUAUCUUGCCGACCAGAGUUUUAUUGAACAAGAUUAUGUCAUUAUAUCAUUCAGGGAAUCUUGUAUAAUUUUGACAUGUGCAUGUGAAACAAUAGCUAGAGAGUUUUUAAUGGGAGCAUUUUGCUCUUCAAAUUUAUUUGAUUUUAAAGAAAUGGCCAACAAACAAUGACAGUGAAUCUUGCAUACUUUACACAUUCUAGUCAAUUGUGAAACCAUAAUGAAAUGUUUGUUGUGGACUUACUUAAAAAAGCCUGGCUGUUCCCUCCUUAAAACCUCAUCGAGUGAUUUCAGAAGAAGCUAGAAAGAUCUACAUGAAAUGAAGUAGAACAAAAUAAUCAGACUGAAAAAUCUUUGUAUACAGAAAUAGCAAUAUUUUAUGAUCAACUGUGAAAGACUUAAGCUACUUUCAUCAAUACAAUGAUCUGGGGCAAUUCUGAAGGACUUAUGACAAAAGAUGCUACCCACCUCCAGAGAAAGAACUGCUGGAGUCAUUUAUUUAUGGUUUUAUUUUGAGGUUCAGGUUCUAUAUGAGUAUUCUCUUACAACAGUGACCAAUAUAAAAGAAUGUUUUGCAUGAUAAUAUAUGUAUAACCUAGAUGAAAUUGUUUACCAUUUACAAGAGGGAGAAUUAAGGAAGACAAUUUGGAUCUUAUAACUUAAGAAAAAAAUGUUGAAAAUUGUUAUUAUAUGUGACUGGGAAAAUAAAAUAUCUGCGAAUUAAAAAA
Molecule: non-coding RNA, 8585 nt
Organism: Monodelphis domestica (gray short-tailed opossum)
Lineage: Eukaryota; Metazoa; Chordata; Mammalia; Didelphimorphia; Didelphidae
Source: RefSeq, a predicted model, not a curated record